RNAcentral lists this ribosomal RNA (847 nucleotides) under uncultured bacterium. Its description in RNAcentral is "bacterial SSU rRNA". It matches the Rfam family "Bacterial small subunit ribosomal RNA", at positions 74 to 917 of the family's 1533-position model. The record is from RNAcentral.
GGGGGCUUGCUCCCGGGUUAGUGGCGAACGGGUGAGUAAUAUAUCGGAACAUAUCCGGAAGUGGGGGAUAACGUAGCGAAAGUUACGCUAAUACCGCAUAUGCCCUGAGGGGGAAAGGGGGGGAUCGCAAGACCUCUCGCUUUCGGAGUGGCCGAUACCGGAUUAGCUAGAUGGUGAGGUAAAGGCUCACCAUGGCGACGAUCCGUAGCUGGUCUGAGAGGACGACCAGCCACACUGGAACUGAGACACGGUCCAGACUCCUACGGGAGGCAGCAGUGGGGAAUUUUGGACAAUGGGCGAAAGCCUGAUCCAGCCAUACCGCGUGAGUGAAGAAGGCCUUCGGGUUGUAAAGCUCUUUCAGCCGGAAAGAAAUCGCACUUUUUAAUACGGAGUGUGGAUGACGGUACCGGAAGAAGAAGCACCGGCUAACUACGUGCCAGCAGCCGCGGUAAUACGUAGGGUGCGAGCGUUAAUCGGAAUUACUGGGCGUAAAGCGUGCGCAGGCGGUUUGAUAAGCCAGAUGUGAAAUCCCCGGGCUUAACCUGGGAACUGCAUUUGGAACUGUCAGACUAGAGUGUAGCAGAGGGGGGUAGAAUUCCACGUGUAGCAGUGAAAUGCGUAGAUAUGUGGAGGAAUACCAAUGGCGAAAGCAGCCCCCUGGGUUAACACUGACGCUCAUGCACGAAAGCGUGGGGAGCAAACAGGAUUAGAUACCCUGGUAGUCCACGCCCCUAAACGAUGUCAACUAGUUGUUGGGGGAGGAGACUUCCUUUAGUAACGCAGCUACGCGUGAAGUUGACCGCCUGGGGGAGUACGGUCGCAGAUAAAACCUCAAGGAAUUGACGGG